Molecule: transfer RNA, 71 nt
Filed under: Lachnospiraceae bacterium
Lineage: Bacteria; Bacillati; Bacillota; Clostridia; Lachnospirales; Lachnospiraceae
Description: tRNA-Cys
Rfam family: tRNA
About the family: Transfer RNA (tRNA) molecules are approximately 80 nucleotides in length.
Source: RNAcentral
GAUGCUGUAGCCGUUGGGAAUGGCAUAGGUUUGCAAAACUGAAGUUGGUGGUUCGAAUCCACUCAGCAUCG